CUGAAACGGCUACCCAUCCAAGGAAGGCAGCAGGCACGCAAAUUACCCACUCCCGGCACGGGGAGGUAGUGACAAAAAAUAACGAUACGGGACUCUUAUGAGGCCCCGUAAUCGGAAUGAGUACACUUUAAAUCCUUUAACAAGGAUCCAUUGAAGGGCAAGUCUGGUGCCAGCAGCCGCGGUAAUUCCAGCUUNANUAGCGUAUAUUAAAGUUGUUGCGGGUAAAAAGCUCGGAAUUGGUUCUGCGUGCCACGCUGUCNGCNNGCCGCCUGCCGGUGUAACUGGCAUGCCNCGGCAUGUCCUGUCCGUGGNGUNNGGGAGCCUCGUCUAGGCGUCGGCCCUUGCCCCAAAGCUUGGUGCUCGGAGGCCGGGGGUAUACCCGUUCGCCUACUCUAUCCUACCUAGGUGCUCUUUACCGAGUGUCGAGGUAGGCCGACACGUUUACUUUGAACAAAUUAGAGUGCUCAAAGCAGGCUGAAAUCUCUGCCUGAAUAGUGGUGCAUGGAAUAAUAAAACAGGACCUUGGUUCUAUUUUGUUGGUUCUUAGGAACACAAGGUAAUGAUCAAUACGGACAGGCGGGGGCAUUCGUAUUGCGACGUUAGACUUGGCAAAUGCUUUCGCGGUGAAAUUCUUGGAUCGUCGCAAGACGCACAAGAGCGAAAGCAUUUGCCAAGUAUGUCUUGAUUGAUCAAGAACGAAAGUUAGAGGUUCGAAGGCGAUCAGAUACCGCCCUAGUUCUAACCAUAAACGAUGCCAGCCAGCGAUCCGCCGAUGUUCCUCCGAUGACUCGGCGGGGAGCUUCUUCCCGGGAAACCAAAGCUUUUGGGUUCCGGGGGAAGUAUGGUUGCAAAGCUGAAACUUAAAGGAAUUGACGGAAGGGCACCACCAGGAGUGGAGCCUGCGGCUUAAUUUGACUCAACACGGGAAACCUCACCAGGCCAGGACAUUGGAAGGAUUGACAGAUUGAUAGCUCUUUCUUGAUUCAGUGGGUAGUGGUGCAUGGCCGUUCUUAGUUGGUGGAUCGAUUUGUCUGGUUAAUUCCGAUAACGAACGAGACUCUAGCCUAUUAACUAGGCGUUUUCCGGUGUCCCCGCCACCGGCGACAAUCAUUCUUCUUAAGGGGACAGGCGGCUUUUAGCCGCACGAGAUUGAGCAAUAACAGGUCUGUGAUGCCCUUAGAUGUCCUGGGCCGCACGCGCGCUACACUGAAGGAAUCAGCGUGUGCCUCCCUGGCCGAAAGGCCCGGGUAAUCCGCUGAACCUCCUGCGUGCUAGGAAUUGGGGCUUGCAAUUGUUCCCCAUGAACGAGGAAUUCCCAGUAAGCGCGAGUCAUAAGCUCGCGUUGAUUACGUCCCUGCCCUUUGUACACACCGCCCGUCGCUACUACCGAUUGAAUGAUUUAGUGAGGUCUUCGGACUGGCGGUAAUCCCUACCGACUCGUCGGUAUCGAUGAACGCUGGGAAGAUGACCAAACUUGAUCAUUUAGAGGAAGUAAAAGUCGUAACAAGGUUUCC
This 1514-nucleotide ribosomal RNA is filed under the name Stenotus binotatus. RNAcentral's name for it is "SSU rRNA". It matches the Rfam family "Eukaryotic small subunit ribosomal RNA", at positions 398 to 1804 of the family's 1831-position model. Lineage: Eukaryota; Metazoa; Arthropoda; Insecta; Hemiptera; Miridae. The record is from RNAcentral.